GACAGAGGGUGCAAACGUUGUUCGGAAUUACUGGGCGUAAAGCGCACGUAGGCGGAUCGUUAAGUCGGGGGUGAAAUCCUGGAGCUCAACUCCAGAACUGCCUUCGAUACUGGCGAUCUCGAGUCCGGAAGAGGUGAGUGGAACUCCUAGUGUAGAGGUGGAAUUCGUAGAUAUUAGGAAGAACACCAGUGGCGAAGGCGACUCACUGGUCCGGUACUGACGCUGAGGUGCGAAAGCGUGGGGGAGCAAACAGG
RNAcentral lists this ribosomal RNA (254 nucleotides) under uncultured bacterium. RNAcentral describes it as "partial 16S ribosomal RNA". It matches the Rfam family "Bacterial small subunit ribosomal RNA", at positions 524 to 776 of the family's 1533-position model. The record is from RNAcentral.